UUUAGACCCACGGCGAACGGGUGAGUAAUACCUAGGAAUGUCCUUAUAGUGGAGGAUAACCAGCCGAAAGGUUGGAUAAUACUUCAUGUGAUCGCAAGAUUAAAGUCGCAAGACGCUAUAAGCGCAGCCUGGGCACCAUCAGCUAGUUGGUAAGGUAAUGGCUUACCAAGGCUAUGACGGUUAGGGGCCCCGAGAGGGGAGACCUCCACACUGGAACUGCGACACGGUCCAG
Molecule: ribosomal RNA, 232 nt
Filed under: uncultured bacterium
Lineage: Bacteria
Description: partial 16S ribosomal RNA
Rfam family: Bacterial small subunit ribosomal RNA
Source: RNAcentral